Molecule: non-coding RNA, 5597 nt
Organism: Sus scrofa (pig)
Lineage: Eukaryota; Metazoa; Chordata; Mammalia; Artiodactyla; Suidae
Source: RefSeq, a predicted model, not a curated record
UCAAGUGCUGCUCGGAUUAGACCCCUAGCCUGGGGACUUCAUAUGCCACAGGUGCAGCCCUAAAAAGACAAAAAAAGAAAACGAGACAAAGCAAAAACAAAGUUGGUUAACAAUUCUCAAAAGACCUAUUUUUCUCAAAACUCAAUGUCCUUUCAUACUCAUUCCUUUAGAAAAGAGCGAUUUGGGGACAAUACCAAAAAAGUCCUCACGUAUAAAUUAAGAAUUGAGCUGGAAAUAGUUUCUCUGAUUUUUCCAGCUCUGAAAUGCUAUAAAUCUCUAAGAUGGAAGGCUCUGAACUUCAUUGCGUGCCUAACACAAGCCUGGCACUGUUCUUGCCAUGGGGAUACAGCAGCAAACAAAAACAGACAAAAUCCCUACCGUCAUACAACUUAACAUUUCUAGUGAGAGAGGACACAAGAUAAGCAAAUAAAAUAUACAUUAAAUUAAAUAGUAGUACGUGCAAAGGAGAAAUGAAAGAAGGGGAAAGAGGAAAAAACAAAAGUAAAAAUUGCAAGAAACAGUUUUUAACACCGUGCUGAAACAGGAUAAAAACUGAGAACCUGCGCUGUCAGAAAGACCUUGGCACUUCUGAAUUCCCAAGCCGGCAAUACCUAGUGCGCAUGCGCAUUGGGGUGUCAGGGACGAAAGCGUGUUCUUGGUGGGAAGGCUCAGAAGCGCAUGCUCGCGGGCUCGCGCGUGCAUGAACCUCGCGCGCACGAGCCUCGCGCACCAACGUGCGCGCGUCUGGCGUCUGAGGCGGUUGGCAAUUAUUUCCAGUCUGAAAGGGAUCCAGUGCCUGGCAUUCUUACCGGCUUUCUGCCUGCCAUGAUCAAGUGCUUGUCAGUUGAAGUACAAGCCAGAUUGCGUUCUGGUUUGGCUAUAUGCUCCUUAGGUCAGUGUGUUGAGGAGCUUGCCCUCAACAGUAUCGAUGCAGAAGCAAAAUGUGUGGCUGUCAGGGUGAACAUGGAAACCUUUCAAGUUCAAGUGAUAGACAAUGGAAUUGGAAUGGGGAGUGAAGAUGUAGACAAGGUGGGAAAUCGUUAUUUCACUAGUAAAUGCAACUCCAUACAGGACUUGGAGAACCCAAGGUUUUAUGGUUUCCGAGGGGAGGCCUUGGCCAGUAUCGCUGACAUGGCCAGUGCUGUGGAAAUUUCAUCCAGGAGAAACAAGUCAAUGAAAACUUUUGUGAAACUGUUUCAAAAUGGAAAAGCCCUAAAAGCUUGUGAAGCUGACUUGACUAGGCCAAGUGCUGGGACAACAGUUACAGUAUAUAACCUAUUUUAUCAGUUACCUGUAAGGAGGAAAUGCAUGGAUCCUAGACUGGAAUUUGAGAAGGUUAGGCAGAGGGUAGAAGCACUCUCACUCAUGCACCCUUCCGUUUCUUUCUCUUUGAGAAAUGAUGUUUCUGGUUCCAUGGUUCUUCAGCUCCCUAAAACUAAAGACAUAUGUUCCCGAUUUUGUCAAAUUUAUGGACUAGGUAAGUCCCAAAAGUUAAGAGAGAUCAAUUUUAAAUAUAAGGAGUUUGAGCUUAAUGGCUUUAUUAGCGCUGAAGCACAUUAUAAUAAGAAUAUGCAGUUUUUGUUUGUGAACAAGAGGCUCAUUUUAAGGACAAAGUUGCAUAAACUCAUUGACUUUUUACUAAGGAAAGAAAGUAUUAUAUGCAAGCCAAAGAACGGCUCUGCCAGUAGGCAAAUGAAUUGUGGUCCUCGGCCUCGGCCUAACCCAGAACUCCAUGGUAUAUAUGUCAUUAAUAUGCAGUGCCAGUUUUGUGAGUAUGACGUGUGCCUGGAACCGGCAAAAACACUGAUUGAGUUUCAGAACUGGGAUACUCUUUUGGUUUGCAUUCAAGAAGGAGUAAAAAUGUUUUUAAAGAAAGAAAAAUUAUUUGUGGAAUUAUCAAAUGAGGACAUAAAGGAAUUUAGUGAAGAUAAUGAUUUUAGUUUAUUUAGCACCACUCUUCAGAAGCAAGUGUCCUCUGAUGAGAAGUAUGACCAGGUCAAUUUCCAGGAAGCAUGUAAUAAUAUUUUGGAUUCAUAUGAAAUGUUUAAUUUGCAAUCAAAAGCUGUGAAAAGAAAAGCUACUGUAGAAAACAUAAACACACAGAAUUCUAGGGAUUCAGAAGCUAUCAGAAAAAAGACAAAUGAUUCAUUUUUGUAUACUUUUGAAUCCAGUGGACUAGCCCAUAGUAAAAUGACAGAGUCAUCUUUACAAAAUGAAGAUAGUGCUUGCUCAGAGUCAAGGAUCUUAGAACAAGAGACAGUUGAAGCAUCAGAACCAGGAGAGAAUGAGAAAGAUAAAAAAUCUUGCUUGGAACUUAACUCUUCAGAAAAUCCAUGUGGAACCAGUUCAGAAAUGUUUGCAAGCCCUUUUCAAACACAUCACUUUGAGCGGAGUGGAGACAACUCAGAAAUACAGAAAGUAAGUACUACUGCGAAUGACACAAAUGCCAACAUCCUGAAAAGUAAUAGAAUUCAGAAUCAACUAGAGAGAUUUAAAGAUGCUACUGAAAUGGAAUGCCAGCCUCUGCCUUUUGAGACAUUAUUGGGAGCAAAUGGCACUCCGAGAAAGGAAGAGGAAAGAAAAAAAGAACCUAGUAAUUGUGGACGGAUAAAUGUUUUUAGUUACGGACAAGUUAACUUAUGUUCCACUGGCUUCAUAACUCACGUGGUACAAAAUGAGCAAACUAAAUCAACCAAAACAGAGCAUUUAUUUAAGAACCGUGUUCAACCUGGUCCUGUGAGUGCCAAAGAAACAUUUGGAAGUAGAACAUGUCAUUCAGUUGAGAUUCCAAACAUUAAAGACUUAACCAGCACUUUAAGUAAAGAAUUUGCUCAGCUGCCCAACAAAAAAUUAUGUAGAGCAAAUAUAAGUCAUGGGCUAGAGAAUAAACCUAUAGCAACUUAUAAAAAAUUUUCCGUUUUCCAGGAAGGUAGUAAAAAACCACACACAGGUUGCUUAUUACCUGACACGUCAUCUUUCUCUUGGGGUAGACAAGUUUCGAAUAGUAGUAAGAGAACAGAUAAAUUGAUUGGAUCCACCAAACCUAUAGCUCAUAAGAAGCUAAGCUUAAGUUCACAACUAGGAUCUUUAGAGAAGUUUAAGAGGCAAUAUGGGAAAGUUAAAAAUCCUCUGAGUACAGAAGUAGAGGAAAAUAAUACUUUAGAAAUCACUACCAAUCUCAGUCCCCAGGGUGAACCUGACAUUCCAUGGAAAGACGAAAACCACUUAGAUAACUCUGGUAUUUGUAAAAUCACUACCUUGAAACAUAAUGAUUCAAGGAGUAGUUGUCAACCAGCAAGUCACAUGUUUUAUUCAGAAAAGUUUCCAUUCUCCAAGGAAGAAGACUGUUUGGAACAACAGAUGCCUUGCUUAAGAGAGAGCCCUAUAACUCUAAAUGAGUUAUCUCAUUUUAACAGAAAGCCUUUGGAUGGUGAGAAGUCACCUGAAUCACUAGCCUCUAAAUUAUCCAGAUUGAAGGGUUCUGAAAGAGAGACUCAAACAAUGGAGAUGAUGGGUCAUUGUGACGAAUGUCCACAGUCAGGUUCCAGUAGGCAAGACAGUGGCUUGUACAGUGCGUUAACCCUAGAUUCUGGUAAGUUAUUUAAAAAUGAACAUGAAAAACCAGAAAGUGGCAUCCAGCCAAUGUCAAACUCUAUCACACAGAGUAGUCCCUUCAAUAAAGACAGUGAGAUGCAUUCUAACAACAGUACCACAGAGCCCUCUGUGAUGUCAGAAACGCCUUUGGUAUUGCCCUCUGACAAUUCUACAGUUAUCAGUAAGGAUGCAGAUGUUCUUAGAGCUUCAGAACAACAGAUUGGAAGUCUCGACUCUCCAAAGAGAAUGUUAAUGAGUCAUGUAGAAGAUUCCACAGCUGACCAAAGUGGAACUUGUGUUCAGAGUGAGGAAUCUUUAGCAAAAACUGAUUGUGAAAAUGAAGACUCCAACCCGUGUUCUUUGGAUUGGCAGCAACAUUUCGAUGGCGCCUUGGGAAGAAUGGUUUACAUCAACAAGCUCACCGGACUGAGCACAUUCGUUGCUCCUACUGAGGACGUUCGGGCUGCUUGUACUAAAGACCUGACAACUAUGGCUGUGGAUGUUCUACUUGAGAAUGAUACUGGGGGUGAUGCUUUUGGUCACGAAUCACUUCAGUCUUUGUUCUCAGAAUGGGAAAAUCCAGUAUUUGCCCGUUAUCCAGAGGUUGCUGUUGACGUAAGCAGUGGCCAGGCUGAGAGCCUAGCAGUUAAAAUUCACAACAUCUUGUAUCCUUAUCGUUUUACCAAAGAAAUGAUUCAUUCAAUGCAGGUUCUCCAGCAAGUGGAUAACAAGUUUAUUGCCUGUUUAAUGAGCACUAAGACUGAAGAGGAUGGUGAAGCAGGUAAGAAUGGAGCCUCAAUAAUCAGCUGGUCUUCUGCAAGCUUCCUUUUAAGGUUAUUUAUUUUUUUUAUAAAUACAAUUUCAAUGAUUUUUACAGAUUAGGGAAAACCAAUCUAAAUUAAUAUUAUGAAACAACAGUUUUUAAUUUACAUUUAGUUUUGGAGUUCCCUUGUGGCUCAGCAGGUUAAGAAUCUGGUGUUGUCACAGCUGUGGUGCAGCUUCAGUCCUCGGCCCAGGAACUUCUGUAUGCCAUGGAUGCAGCCGGUGGAAACCUGCUAGUCUUAGUGGACCAGCACGCCGCCCAUGAGCGCAUCCGCCUGGAGCAGCUGAUUGCUGAUUCCUAUGAGAAGCAACAGGCACAAGGCUCUGGUCGGAAAAAAUUAUUGUCUUCCACUGUAAAUCCUCCGCUAGAGAUACCAGUGACUGAGGAACAAAGGAGACUCUUACGGUGUUACCACAAAAAUCUGGAAGAUCUGGGCCUUGAAAUUAUAUUUCCAGACACUAGCGAUCGUCUGGUCCUUGUAGGAAAAGUUCCACUCUGUUUUGUAGAAAGAGAAGCCAAUGAACUUCGAAGAGGAAGAUCUACUGUGACCAAGAGCAUUGUGGAGGAAUUUAUUCGAGAACAAGUGGAGCUACUCCAGACCACAGGAGGCAUCCAAGGUACUUUGCCACUGACUGUCCAGAAGGUGUUGGCAUCCCAAGCCUGCCAUGGGGCCAUUAAGUUUAAUGACAGUCUGAGCCUAGAGGAGAGCUGUCGCCUUAUUGAAGCUCUGUCCUGGUGCCAGCUGCCAUUCCAGUGUGCUCAUGGCAGGCCCUCCAUGCUACCGUUAGCUGACGUUGACCACCUGGAGCAAGAAAAGCAGAUUAAACCCAAUCUUGCUAAACUUCGCAGAAUGACCCAGGCCUGGCAUCUCUUUGGAAAAGCAGAAGGAUCUGAUACAAGGCAAAGCCUGCAGGCAUCCCUGCCUCCUUGUGAGCCUCCAUGAGAAUAGAUUGUUGUCGUUAAGGAACCAAAGGGAUGUUGACUGAAGGCCUCUGAGCAGAGAGCCUGAGCUGCAGGCACCACCCAGGCCCUGUGCACCCAUCCCCAUAGCCGGCUGCUCUCAUGACCCCUUAAGUUGAGUAACCAGAUGGAAUCCAAGCCUCAAGACAGUUGGCAUCCAUGGACACUGGAGGUUGCUCUACUUUUUGUAGCUUACUUGGGGAUAAAAUUUAAUGAUUAA